GACGAACGCUGGCGGCGUGCUUAACACAUGCAAGUCGAACGGAAAGGCCCUGCUUUUGUGGGGUGCUCGAGUGGCGAACGGGUGAGUAACACGUGAGUAACCUGCCCUUGACUCUGGGAUAACUUCAGGAAACUGGGGCUAAUACCGGAUAGGAGCUCCUGCUGCAUGGUGGGGGUUGGAAAGUUUCGGCGGUUGGGGAUGGACUCGCGGCUUAUCAGCUUGUUGGUGGGGUAGUGGCUUACCAAGGCUUUGACGGGUAGCCGGCCUGAGAGGGUGACCGGCCACAUUGGGACUGAGACACGGCCCAGACUCCUACGGGAGGCAGCAGUGGGGAAUAUUGCACAAUGGGCGGAAGCCUGAUGCAGCAACGCCGCGUGCGGGAUGACGGCCUUCGGGUUGUAAACCGCUUUCGCCUGUGACGAAGCGUGAGUGACGGUAAUGGGUAAAGAAGCACCGGCUAACUACGUG
RNAcentral lists this ribosomal RNA (468 nucleotides) under uncultured bacterium. RNAcentral's name for it is "partial 16S ribosomal RNA". It matches the Rfam family "Bacterial small subunit ribosomal RNA", at positions 28 to 507 of the family's 1533-position model. The record is from RNAcentral.